This 301-nucleotide ribosomal RNA is filed under the name uncultured bacterium. Its description in RNAcentral is "partial 16S ribosomal RNA". It matches the Rfam family "Bacterial small subunit ribosomal RNA", at positions 509 to 807 of the family's 1533-position model. The record is from RNAcentral.
CAGUAGCCGCGGGAAUACAGAGGGUGCAAGCGUUAAUCGGAAUUACUGGGCGUAAAGCGCGCGUAGGCGGCUUCUUAAGUCGGAUGUGAAAUCCCUGAGCUUAACUUAGGAAUUGCAUUCGAUACUGGGAAGCUAGAGUAUGGGAGAGGAUGGUAGAAUUCCAGGUGUAGCGGUGAAAUGCGUAGAGAUCUGGAGGAAUACCGAUGGCGAAGGCAGCCAUCUGGCCUAAUACUGACGCUGAGGUACGAAAGCAUGGGGAGCAAACAGGAUUAGAUACCCCUGUAGUCCCUGUCUCUUAUAC